Molecule: ribosomal RNA, 215 nt
Filed under: uncultured bacterium
Lineage: Bacteria
Description: partial 16S ribosomal RNA
Rfam family: Bacterial small subunit ribosomal RNA
Source: RNAcentral
GAAUCAACGCUGGCGGCGUGCCUCAGACAUGCAAGUCGAACGAUUAAAGCUCGUCUUCGGAGAGUGUAUAGAGUGGCGCACGGGUGAGUAACACGUAAGUAAGUCUACCUUCGAGUGGGGAAUAACGUCCGGAAACGGACGCUAAUACCGCAUAAUGCAGCGGCAUCGCAAGAUGACAGUUGUUAAAGAUUUAUCGCUUGAAGAGGAGCUUGCGG